RNAcentral lists this unclassified non-coding RNA (3221 nucleotides) under Hevea brasiliensis (rubber tree). The record is from RNAcentral. Lineage: Eukaryota; Viridiplantae; Streptophyta; Magnoliopsida; Malpighiales; Euphorbiaceae.
GAUCACUCGACAACCAUACAUUUGCAGGCUAAGAGUCAAAACAUGACCAAAAAGGUUGCCAGCCAGUUCUCUUCUCUGCGAAGGAAGUCCAUGUUCAAAGAACUUCUGAAUUACAUAAUUGCCAAACACAUCAGUCAUUAAAGCAAGAGCUUGGGGCAUGAUUUCUUGAUAAACCAUGUUUUUCUCAUCAAUUGUGGCUGUCUCAAGUUUUUGUUGAAUGAACCGACUCCCGUACUGGUCCGCACUGAACUCAACAACAUGUCCGGCAAUUUCUGAAAGUUCAAGACACUUAGUUUUAUUACUCUUAAACUCCUCCAGAAGAGAUGAUGCAAAGCUUUCAUCCACAUUAACUCCUCCAUCCAAGUGCCACGGUCCCAUGAUGCCCCCAGCUAAGUUCCUCAUCCCAGAAGGAAAACGCAUAUUCAGCUCAUUGUGUCUUAUUGGACUGCCAGGUCCAAUGGGAGAGUUUGGAAUAACAGGACUUGCAAGGGGACUUCCAGGAUAUGACAUGCCAACACCAAAGGCGGGAUUCCCAUAAUAGCCAUGAUGAUUAGAACCACCAGAUUGACCACCUAUUGGGACACCAUACUGUGACUUCUGAGAUGAUAAAAGCGCUCCACCAUGAGCUUUCUGUAGUUCAAGUAAAUUCAUAUAAUUACCUAAGUAGUUCCUAUCAACCGAGGGAUCAUUAAGAGCUGCAAGCUGGGCAGCAGCAUACUCAGGAGUCCUCAAGUACUGGAGAUAUAAUGGAUCAACAAAAGGUGCCUGAAGGGCACUCCCAGCCAUUGGACUACCCAUUCUUCCAAGAUUAUUUGACUCAGAGGCAGCAGCUGUUAGAUUUGCUGCAGACCCCAGUCCUCGUCCAAGCACUCUUGAGUCCAUUCCAGGAACUGCCACAGCCGAUGCUGCAGCAACAUUUUCAAACAACAUUGGUAGAUUACCAGUGGCAAGUUGGCUGGCCAUCAUAGAAGCCAAUGCUGGAUUGACAGGAUAUCCACUUAACCCAUAGUUUGAAAGAGAUGAGUUUGCAUUAUCUACAUGCUGAUACUGCAGAGGUAAGCCACCUCCACUAUUAACAGUGUUGGUCGGUGAUCCUUUCACGUAAGAAUUACCAGAAGGAAAACCAGAUUUCUGCAGCUCAACCUGCCUAUCAACUAUCAAGGAUGAAUUGUUCAGGUCUGACCCACUACCAUUGCUUUUAGCCAAAUCAGAGUAGGAAAUCUUUGCUGAUUGAGCAAGAGAAGGCAUAUGUAAAUGUCUAGAUUCAGCCUUCUUUAGGUAUGCAUUUUGCUUCACAUGAUUCUGACCUCCUUUGAGACCAAAGAUAUCAACAUCCUCUUGGUUUUCUUCAUCAACCACACCAUUUGUUGACAAGUUCAUGCCAGACAAAGCAGCUGCCAAAUCUGUAGACUCACCUAUGUAAGAUGUAACACCAUUAAAUGAGUUUGAACCACUAUUACCUCUCUUUUCAGAUGCAGAAGCCCUCCCCUGCCCAAUGGGGGUAGGGCAAGGACUAGGGACCCUAGCAACAAGUUGGGAAUCAGGAGUAGUACUUCUAGACAAGGAAGAACCUACAACGGCAGCAUAAGAAUAAGAUGAAGGUGGCCCAAUAUUAUGGACAGCAGAUGAGCCCUGACCAUUUGAACCCGAUCGUCGAGCAUCUGUAGAUGACAAAUUGCGGCGCAAAUGAGCCAGCUCAGCUUCAGCUGAACCUACACUCUCAACAUUCUCAUUAACUGCAUUAGCCUGGCGAGAAGGUUGCCCUGUUACAGGGGUUGCACGCCCCAAAUCAUCCUGGGACACAAGUAGAUUGACAUAUUCGCAUCAAAGCCAAUAGGAAGCAACGAAUGCCACAACAUACAAUCCAGGGAAAUGAAAUAAUCCCAUUGAUACUAAUGCAACGAUGAAGAAAUAAAGCAGACAACACCACAGAAGUUACAUGAGAUUCACAAUCAAAAAGCAACAUAAAUUAGAAUAUUUAAGCCCAAUAGCAGAAAUAAAUCACCUGAAAGAUUUCUGCAAGGCUCUUCUGUUUACUACCAAGUCCUAAACCUAGUAAACCAAUCAGACCAUCACCACCCCACUCUGUGGAGCCACCCACCUUCUCAGUCUCAACCUCAGUUUCAUGUUUCCUUGAAUCAAAUCCUGGUGGCAUAGAGAACAUAGAUCUUCCACUCCCAUUAUCAGGCCUAUUCACUUUCCUCCUAUCACCAAUCCCACCUAAAACCGAACUCCCUCCACCCUUCAAUCUUUGUGUGAACCUCCAAUCCUCCCUGGAAAGCAAAGGAGGUGGAAGCCUAGGGUUCAAAUUCACAUUUGAGUAAUAGUACGACAGAUAAGCUGGGUCAGACCUAAGCUCCUCCUCUGACACAAGCCCAUUCCCAUUUUUGCAAUUAACAAACUCAGCAAAGGCAGCAGCAGCAGCACCGCCUCCACCACCUAGCAAGCCCCCAACUGCGGUCAAUGAACCCUCCACAGUUGGAGGCGCAGAACCACUCCUAUACAAAUUGAGCUCUCUCUCGAGAUCAUUAGGUUCUUGCCUGCGUUGCUCACGCAGCAAUAACCCUAUUUCCUUCUCCAAAUCAUCACUGAAUGAUCCGUCAUUAGUUCCUACCAUCGGCCGCCUACCCAGUUCAGAUAACAUAUUCAAAACCCCAAUUUGAUCAUCAACUAUAACAACUCAAGAACUGAUCAAUACCCGGUACCAACAAUCACAACCUAAACCCUGAAAAAUCCCAAAAUGAGAACUUUCUACGUCUAAAGCAGCUAAGCACCAUACAUACAAGUCCAAUAAAGUAACUUUAAGUAUAAAAGAUCAAAACAUUCUGCCACCUAAACUGCUACGAAAUCAAUAAUCUCAAUCCUAAACUACAAACCUCGAUUAUUAGCCACAAAAAAAAAAAAAUUAAAAUCCAAAUAUGGGUUACUCUCCCAGAAUCGAUUUCCUAAUAUAAAUUAGACAACUUUGGCGGACCAUGUUUCCAUGUAAAAGCAAGCAAUAAAACAAACAGCAACAAAAUUCUAUGAGGAGAAGUUGCUAUGAGUAAGCAAGAAAAGCCAUUGAGGUACAUCAGAGAAGAAAGAGUUGGUUCUCGCAUAAAGAGAUGGAAUGGAGAAAGCGAGAAAGAAAGAGUUUUAAUAAACGGCUGCGAUCAAUCUGGCGGCGAUGGGUUCUUGCAAGAACCCUUAGGGCUUUGUUCCAUAUCUAGCAACGAUUAAAU